GGGUGAGUAAUGCCUAGGAAUCUGCCUGGUAGUGGGGGACAACGUUUCGAAAGGAACGCUAAUACCGCAUACGUCCUACGGGAGAAAGCAGGGGACCUUCGGGCCUUGCGCUAUCAGAUGAGCCUAGGUCGGAUUAGCUAGUUGGUGAGGUAAUGGCUCACCAAGGCGACGAUCCGUAACUGGUCUGAGAGGAUGAUCAGUCACACUGGAACUGAGACACGGUCCAGACUCCUACGGGAGGCAGCAGUGGGGAAUAUUGGACAAUGGGCGAAAGCCUGAUCCAGCCAUGCCGCGUGUGUGAAGAAGGUCUUCGGAUUGUAAAGCACUUUAAGUUGGGAGGAAGGGUUGUAGAUUAAUACUCUGCAAUUUUGACGUUACCGACAGAAUAAGCACCGGCUAACUCUGUGCCAGCAGCCGCGGUAAUACAGAGGGUGCAAGCGUUAAUCGGAAUUACUGGGCGUAAAGCGCGCGUAGGUGGUUCGUUAAGUUGGAUGUGAAAUCCCCGGGCUCAACCUGGGAACUGCAUCCAAAACUGGCGAGCUAGAGUAUGGUAGAGGGGUGGGUGGAAUUUCCUGUGUAGCGGUGAAAUGCGUAGAUAUAGGAAGGAACACCAGUGGCGAA
RNAcentral lists this ribosomal RNA (621 nucleotides) under Pseudomonas granadensis. RNAcentral's name for it is "bacterial SSU rRNA". It matches the Rfam family "Bacterial small subunit ribosomal RNA", at positions 104 to 719 of the family's 1533-position model. The record is from RNAcentral. Lineage: Bacteria; Pseudomonadati; Pseudomonadota; Gammaproteobacteria; Pseudomonadales; Pseudomonadaceae.